AUACAUGCGAUGAAAAGGACAUGAAUGAUAGUUACGGUUUUCAGAGAGGGAAGGAAAGGUGAGAGCUUCCCAGCUUAGGAAUAUCAUUUACCGCCUUGGAGCAGCAUUGGGGAACUGAAGUAACCAAUGCCGUCUAUGCUGCGUUACAGCACCGAGCCGACAACAUAGUAUUUGUCGGGAACUUGGGUGGAACCACGGGUUAAUCACACACUCGUCCCUAUC
This is a regulatory RNA element of Bacillus subtilis subsp. subtilis str. 168, 222 nucleotides long. It matches the Rfam family "T-box leader". From Rfam's summary of the family: Uncharged tRNA acts as the effector for transcription antitermination of genes in the T-box leader family. T-boxes are found upstream of many aminoacyl-tRNA synthetase genes and some amino acid biosynthetic genes usually in Gram-positive bacteria. The record is from Rfam. Lineage: Bacteria; Bacillati; Bacillota; Bacilli; Caryophanales; Bacillaceae.